GCAGUAGGGGGUUAAUAUAGAUUAAUCUUUGUUAAAGCUGUGUUUUGUUGUUUGAUUUACAUGACAGACAACAGCAGGUAUUUAUAGGUUGCUGUCACUUUAAGAGUAAGACAUGCACGCACACAUCAGAUAGAUACACAUCUGAAUUCUCACCUCCUUCACUUAAGAAAUUAACCGAAAGUGUUUACGAGAAGACUUGCUGAGAGAGGUAGAAGGUUCUCUCAGCCGUCUUGAUGUCGAACACAAAGCUGUCCUGGAACUCUUUGCGUUUGAAGGAUCCCACAGGCUCUCUUUCUUCCAUCAACACACACACACAAAGCCACCUCCGCCACCAAACCAGGGAACCAAGGACACUGUUUCCACUAACCGCUACACCCCCGCUCUUCCCGGUCCUGCAUCCAGCCUCACUGUCCGACAGGAAGCGGAAAAUGGAUCCCACUACACAUCCUGUGUUUUCUCAAGCCUGCUGUUGACCUACCCCUCACAUCACUCCUCUCACUCCAUUCGGCCUGUCGCUCACAGAAUAGAGCACUAACACACUGCUUACUACCUGCU
Megalobrama amblycephala (Wuchang bream) is the source of this 555-nucleotide long non-coding RNA. RefSeq lists it as uncharacterized. The transcript has 3 exons. NCBI's taxonomy places the organism in Eukaryota, Metazoa, Chordata, Actinopteri, Cypriniformes, Xenocyprididae. The record is from RefSeq and is a predicted model, not a curated record.